CCCCUUUCUCAAGUUUGUUACUAGCUUACUUCCGUCUUGGAAAAAAAAAAUUGAAAAAGUUAGAACCAUAGACUUCUAACAAAAUCAGAUUUUUAAUCAGCGCCCGUAUCCUCUGCAGAUUUCUUAUACUCUGGCUUCAGCUCAUAAGUUCCUUGAUUUGUUCCUCGCUUGUUGUACACACACAGCUCAUUCAGUAUCUCCUUCAAGAAUUGCGCAGGUUGAUCAGUUUCUUGUACAAGUUGCUUCAAGGCCCAAUUUGGUUGUCUUUCAAACAGCUUGAACAUGAUAUCCUCCAAUUCCCCACGAUCCCUCCUGGUUCUCUUCAUGUCUGACUGUUUAACUGGUGCCGUUUUCUUCUUAUCCUUUGAGUUAGAUGACAUCAAGCCAAUCAUUCCAGGCAUGGGCCUCAUGUGCACUCCUCGGUCAUUAUCAAUCACCUGUAUUUGCCUAUUCUUGAUCAUGGACUUAUUUGUUCUUUCACGGCAUAAUCUUCCAUACUCCUCAAUGUUUUCCUCAUGGGGCUUCAUGUCAAAUUUAUGUUCCACUUUCCCUUCCAUGGCAACUCUUCCUUGACUUGUCUCAGAAAAGACACCCAUAGGAACAAAAUCUUUAAACAUGUUCAGAGAAUAACUCUUAGGUACAUUGCCAGUCUCACUGCCAGCCAUCUCCAUAGUGAACUGUAAACCAGAGGAAUCCUCGCCACGGAGAGGAUCGAGGGAAAGAACGACCUUGGCGAGAGGAUGAGAAUCUGAGGAAGAGGAAUGACUCUGCCAAGACUUCGCUACGACUAACGGGCACUUCAUCAACCACACCGAUCUAUCAGCCUUUGCCGUUUCCAAGACACCGCUACUACUCCCACUACUACCGUGAUCUUCAUCCAUUUCUUUACUUUCUUUUUGCCGUUUGUUUCUCGAGAAACUUUCCCUCUCCUUUGUGGCUUCCAGUUUUUCCUCCACCUACUCUAGUCUCGUCUCGUCUGGUCACG
RNAcentral lists this unclassified non-coding RNA (985 nucleotides) under Hevea brasiliensis (rubber tree). Lineage: Eukaryota; Viridiplantae; Streptophyta; Magnoliopsida; Malpighiales; Euphorbiaceae. The record is from RNAcentral.